This is a long non-coding RNA of Etheostoma spectabile (orangethroat darter), 938 nucleotides long. RefSeq lists it as uncharacterized. The transcript has 6 exons. The record is from RefSeq and is a predicted model, not a curated record. NCBI's taxonomy places the organism in Eukaryota, Metazoa, Chordata, Actinopteri, Perciformes, Percidae.
UGGUGUAACGUUAUUGGCGGGUUUCCCGGAUGAACUAGCUACAUUUCAUAAAAUGCAUGUUUGCCCGGAGGAAGGUCCAUGCUUCCUUCUUUCCUGCGGGUUGUUGUUUUAGCUGUUCGCCCGUAAUGCACGGCGUACUGCACAAGUGUGUGUGGUUGGGAGAUUGUCUCGAAAUCGUUUUAACACUUCAGAUAUCGGACUACAAAGAGUCAGCGUUUUGUUAUCAGACAGGUGCCAAUAGGUGUUUGCACAAUGUUAACCUGCGCAAUCAAUUCUACAAGGAGCUGGACAGACACACGCCGAAACUCUUCAACUUGUUCAGAGACCACCAAGACGGGCAAGAUAGCGGAGGAGCUAGCCAAGCUUGUGAGGAUUUAUGACCUUCAGGAACAACGUGAUGUAAUAUGAGACGGGCCUUUGUCCUUUGUGCACUUCCUGUGUACCUGCGUGAAGAUGCCUCCAAGAUCUUCAGGACCUGUAAUGUCAGCAGAUGGGCCAGACCUCACUGACACUCUGGUGGCCUGACCGUCGUCACGGUGACACUACUGAUGCCCACUGACACACCUCUUCAGCCCUGAGAGCAUCUGUAUUGUCGUGGAGGAUGAAAUACCUGUGAGUGGUCCCACAAAUCUGGCUGACUCAUUUCUCCUGCUCUUUGGGUACGUCUGUGCACUAGACCUACUAUACCCAAAGAAUCUCGAGCUUACAUUCACAUUUCUUGAGGACAACAAACCACUGAAAGGGCGUCUACUGACGCUGAAUAAUGAUUUGUUCAAUGACUGAAUCACUCAGAACGGACUAUUUGUUGAGCUGAGUAUUGGAAGUUAUUUUUUAUUUUUUAUUUUUUUUCUCUUUACAAAUCAUUUGCCUCUUCUACCUCAGAUUUAAGAUGGCACUGUUUGCCUCUUCUACUUCAGAUUUAAUACAUUGAUUGUUAA